RNAcentral lists this small nuclear RNA (174 nucleotides) under Octodon degus (degu). RNAcentral's name for it is "U1 spliceosomal RNA (ENSODEG00000020986.1)". It matches the Rfam family "U1 spliceosomal RNA". From Rfam's summary of the family: U1 is a small nuclear RNA (snRNA) component of the spliceosome (involved in pre-mRNA splicing). Its 5' end forms complementary base pairs with the 5' splice junction, thus defining the 5' donor site of an intron. There are significant differences in sequence and secondary structure between metazoan and yeast U1 snRNAs, the latter being much longer (568 nucleotides as compared to 164 nucleotides in human). The record is from Rfam by way of RNAcentral. Lineage: Eukaryota; Metazoa; Chordata; Mammalia; Rodentia; Octodontidae.
GUACUUACCUGGCAGGGGAGAUACCAUGAUCGCAAAGGUGGUUUCCCCUGGGUGAGACCUGGGUGAGACUCGUCUGUUGCUCUCCAGGUGUGCUGACUGCUGCGAUUUCCCCAAAUAUGGAACACUCGACUGCAUAAUUUGUGGUAGUUGGGGAUUGCAUUGUGUUUUCCCCUG